CGUACCCUAGCCCUCCUCUUCUUUUCACCGCACAUAACCCCCACGCCACCCGAGAAUGCAAGGUUGGGUGAUUGCCGUUGCAGUCAAUCCUCAGCCUCGUUACCGUUGAAGCCUGACGGGCCGAGAAGCUUCACCGUAACACAAGGAGUCUGCUCGUGGCAGCGCCAGAUAGGAUCGACCAUCGGGGCGGCUUCAAAUUACUCGUUGUACUUAACCUUCUGCCAUCGCGCGUGAUCGGAGGUCGUCGCGGUGUAAUCCAUAGUAAAAUUGCUUCUAUCAAGUUUGCAGUAUCCCCAGUCCUGGAUAGCAGUGUUUAGAAUAGAGUUUCGGGGCACCAGGUCAUAGUUGGGGAUCGCGCCGGCGAUGUGCCAUCGUUGGUGCGGGCGACGCCACCGCUUUGGCAUGUCGGAAGGAGGGAGAUGGUUUCUGGCCAUCGGAUCCAAAUCUGUGGCUACGAAUUGAAGAUGCUUACCGGUUCAGUAGUUGGAUCCGGGUCGUAGAUCCUCGAAACGGACGGAUCAGGUUAGAUCUCGGUUCAUAACAUCGUGGUCAUCGAUCCAGUAUUGGACAGUUGUGAUGAGAGGAUGAGUGACCGUUUCGCAGAUGAAAACUGGGUCGUCGAUCAGGAGUCCAGCGGUUAGGGUUUGAUUAUGGCGUGGCAGCCUUUGAGUCGUGGAUCUCUGAUCCAGUGGAUGGGAUUAGGUAUCGGUUCAAUUAUUGUGGGAUCUAAUUCUGACGGUAGGCAUGUGAUCCAACGGUAGUAACUCAAUGAUACCCCUUCAGUUGUGGGAUUUUGCAUAAGGGUCCCUGGUUUUCUUCGAAAUUAACCCGCCAUCCACUACUAGUAUAAACUAUUUACAGUUGGGCCCUUGUUUUUAUAAAACAAACCAUGUGAUCUAUGGUUUUUAUACCCGCGGUCCAAAUAAGAUUGUUGGUUUAAUAAAAUAAAUUAGAAAAUGAAUUUUAAUAUGGAAAUUAAAUCCUAAAACUUAAUAAAUUCAUAACUUCUUUGAUUUAACACCAAAUUGUUCCAUUCCAGUUACAUUGAACUCAUAUUAAUAUUUUUUACCAUUUAGUAACCUUAUUUUAUUAUGUAACAGGUUGUUAAAACCAAGCACUUAAUUUGUUUAGUUUACGUUUAACACAUAAACAUUCAGAAAAUCAUAACUUUAUAACCAUAACUCCGAUUUUAGUGGUUCUCGAGCCUACGAUCUCGUUGCGACGUGUAGAUCAUUAUUAUACAGUGUGUUCUUAUAUUUGGUGUGAUAUUGAUUUCUCCUGUGCAAUGUUUGUUUGUAUUGUUGCGAGUAGAUGAGCAAGUGAUCGAGGAGCCCGGAGCUCAGUAGGUUGAAGAAUAUGAGCAUGAGCUCAUUGAAGGCAAGUUGUGCCCUUGACCACUCUUCUUUACCCAAUAAUGUUCUCUAGAAUCACUGUGGCAUGUUUAGGUUUAAUUUGAUGUGGGACCCAAUAGGUCACCCUAGUUUGGUUUACUUUACACCUUAUCACUAAACUUU
RNAcentral lists this long non-coding RNA (1514 nucleotides) under Zea mays. RNAcentral's name for it is "long non-coding RNA (ZMAY_LNC003897)". The record is from RNAcentral. Lineage: Eukaryota; Viridiplantae; Streptophyta; Magnoliopsida; Poales; Poaceae.